GAUGAACGCUGGCGGCGUGCCUAAUACAUGCAAGUCGAGCGAACGGACGAGAAGCUUGCUUUUCUGAUGUUAGCGGCGGACGGGUGAGUAACACGUGGAUAACCUACCUAUAAGGCUGGGAUAACUUCGGGAAACCGGAGCUAAUACCGGAUAAUAUUUUGAACCGCAUGGUUCAAAAGUGAAAGACGGUCUUGCUGUCACUUAUAGAUGGAUCCGCGCUGCAUUAGCUAGUUGGUAAGGUAACGGCUUACCAAGGCAACGAUGCAUAGCCGACCUGAGAGGGUGAUCGGCCACACUGGAACUGAGACACGGUCCAGACUCCUACGGGGGGCAGCAGUAGGGAAUCUUCCGCAAUGGGCGAAAGCCUGACGGAGCAACGCCGCGUGAGUGAUGAAGGUCUUCGGAUCGUAAAACUCUGUUAUUAGGGAAGAACAUAUGUGUAAGUAACUGUGCACAUCUUGACGGUACCUAAUCAGAAAGCCACGGCUAACUACGUG
Molecule: ribosomal RNA, 497 nt
Filed under: uncultured bacterium
Lineage: Bacteria
Description: partial 16S ribosomal RNA
Rfam family: Bacterial small subunit ribosomal RNA
Source: RNAcentral